Molecule: ribosomal RNA, 443 nt
Filed under: uncultured bacterium
Lineage: Bacteria
Description: bacterial SSU rRNA
Rfam family: Bacterial small subunit ribosomal RNA
Source: RNAcentral
ACUCCUACGGGAGGCAGCAGUGGGGAAUCUUGCACAAUGGGCGAAAGCCUGAUGCAGCCAUGCCGCGUGAAUGAUGAAGGCCUUAGGGUUGUAAAAUUCUUUCGCUAGGGAUGAUAAUGACAGUACCUAGUAAAGAAGCCCCGGCUAACUUCGUGCCAGCAGCCGCGGUAAUACGAAGGGGGCUAGCGUUGUUCGGAAUUACUGGGCGUAAAGCGCACGUAGGCGGACUUUUAAGUCAGAUGUGAAAUCCCGGGGCUCAACCUCGGAACUGCAUUUGAAACUGGAAGUCUGGAGUUCGGGAGAGGUUAGCGGAAUACCGAGUGUAGAGGUGAAAUUCGUAGAUAUUCGGUGGAACACCAGUGGCGAAGGCGGCUAACUGGACUGAUACUGACGCUGAGGUGCGAAAGUGUGGGGAGCAAACAGGAUUAGAUACCCUGGUAGUC